ACGGGAGGCAGCAGUGGGGAAUAUUGGACAAUGGGCGCAAGCCUGAUCCAGCAAUGCCGCGUGAGUGAUGAAGGCCUUA
This 79-nucleotide ribosomal RNA is filed under the name uncultured soil bacterium. RNAcentral's name for it is "partial 16S ribosomal RNA". It matches the Rfam family "Bacterial small subunit ribosomal RNA", at positions 341 to 419 of the family's 1533-position model. The record is from RNAcentral.